CCUACGGGAGGCAGCAGUGGGGAAUUUUGGACAAUGGGCGCAAGCCUGAUCCAGCAAUGCCGCGUGAGUGAAGAAGGCCCUCGGGUUGUAAAGCUCUUUUGUCAGGGAAGAAAAGGGUGCGGCUAAUAUCUGCGCCUCAUGACGGUACCUGAAGAAUAAGCACCGGCUAACUACGUGCCAGCAGCCGCGGUAAUACGUAGGGUGCAAGCGUUAAUCGGAAUUACUGGGCGUAAAGCGUGCGCAGGCGGUUUUGUAAGACUGUCGUGAAAUCCCCGGGCUCAACCUGGGAAUGGCGAUGGUGACUGCAAGGCUAGAGUUUGGCAGAGGGGGGUAGAAUUCCACGUGUAGCAGUGAAAUGCGUAGAUAUGUGGAGGAACACCGAUGGCGAAGGCAGCCCCCUGGGUCAAAACUGACGCUCAUGCACGAAAGCGUGGGGAGCAAACAGGAUUAGAUACCCUGGUAGUCCACGCCCUAAACGAUGUCUACUAGUUGUCGGGUCUUAAUUGACUUGGUAACGCAGCUAACGCGUGAAGUAGACCGCCUGGGGAGUACGGUCGCAAGNUUAAAACGUCAAAUGAAUUGACGG
Molecule: ribosomal RNA, 586 nt
Filed under: uncultured bacterium
Lineage: Bacteria
Description: bacterial SSU rRNA
Rfam family: Bacterial small subunit ribosomal RNA
Source: RNAcentral